UUGUUGAUCCACUUGGAGAAACAAAUGAAAAGAUCAAGACCUGUUUAGAGUCUACAAGGUAAAUUUGAUUAUAACCUGUACUUGUGACCAGUGACUUGUUAAAAGAUUUUUACACAUGUAUCAAUACUUUAGAGUAUUCAUGAGGAAGAAAGGCUGCAGUGUUUCAAGGUGGAUGUGCAGCACUCUCCCACAUUCAACUCAGCAAGAUGGUACAUCCUGUGGUGUCCUGGCCUUAAAAUUUGCACAGAAAAUUUUACAGGGAGACGAAAUAGAUCUGGACACCUCACAGACGGCCAUGGACAGGUUAAGGCUCGACAUAGCCACUUCCCUCGUCAGAGAAUCUGAUGAUCUGAGCAGUCUGUGCUUUUAUUGUGGGAUGGAGGACCAUGACGAAGCACUAUGCGUAAGUUAUUCACAUUA
Thalassophryne amazonica is the source of this 420-nucleotide long non-coding RNA. RefSeq lists it as uncharacterized. The transcript has 3 exons. NCBI's taxonomy places the organism in Eukaryota, Metazoa, Chordata, Actinopteri, Batrachoidiformes, Batrachoididae. The record is from RefSeq and is a predicted model, not a curated record.